Molecule: small nucleolar RNA, 110 nt
Organism: Acomys russatus (golden spiny mouse)
Lineage: Eukaryota; Metazoa; Chordata; Mammalia; Rodentia; Muridae
Source: RefSeq, a predicted model, not a curated record
UCAUACUUUUAAGACUCACUGAUGGGUUAAAUUGUGCUGCCAAGCCAAUUGCUGGCGCAUAACUGGAGCCUGCCCAUCUCUGGAGGCCCUUUUAACUGCUAGCUACAGGC